Molecule: unclassified non-coding RNA, 653 nt
Filed under: Hevea brasiliensis (rubber tree)
Lineage: Eukaryota; Viridiplantae; Streptophyta; Magnoliopsida; Malpighiales; Euphorbiaceae
Source: RNAcentral
GGUAGUUGUGACCCUUAUGUGGAAGUUAAGCUGGGAAACUACAGGGGUACCACCCGGCAUUUUGAGAAGAAGACCAACCCUGAGUGGAACCAGGUGUUUGCAUUCUCAAAGGAUCAUAUUCAGUCCUCGGUGCUUGAGGUAACUGUCAAGGAUAAAGAUGUUGUUAAGGAUGAUUUCAUUGGUCGUGUUUGGUUUGAUUUGAAUGAGAUACCAAAACGUGUACCGCCAGAUAGUCCAUUAGCACCCCAGUGGUAUAGAUUGGAGGAUAAAAAAGGAGAUAAAAUAAAGGGAGAAUUGAUGUUAGCUGUGUGGAUGGGUACACAAGCAGAUGAAGCUUUUCCAGAAGCAUGGCAUUCUGAUGCAGCGGCUGUAAGUGGAAUAGAUAGUCUUGCCAAUAUUCGUUCAAAGGUAUAUCUCUCCCCGAAACUCUGGUAUUUGAGGGUCAAUGUAAUUGAAGCUCAAGACUUGCAACCAACUGAUAAAGGUCGGUAUCCAGAAGUUUUUGUGAAGGUUAUUCUGGGAAAUCAAGCCUUGAGAACAAGAAUUUCGCCCGGCAGGAGUAUCAAUCCCAUGUGGAAUGAGGACCUUAUGUUUGUGGCGGCAGAACCGUUUGAGGAGCCUUUGAUCUUGAGUGUGGAAGAUAGAGUUGCAUC